RNAcentral lists this ribosomal RNA (494 nucleotides) under uncultured bacterium. Its description in RNAcentral is "partial 16S ribosomal RNA". It matches the Rfam family "Bacterial small subunit ribosomal RNA", at positions 28 to 507 of the family's 1533-position model. The record is from RNAcentral.
GACGAACGCUGGCGGCGCGCUUAACACAUGCAAGUCGAACGGAAAGGCCUGCUUUCCCUUGUGGAUUGCGGGUACUCGAGUGGCGAACGGGUGAGUAACACGUGAGUGAUCUGCCCCCAACUUGGGUAUAAGCCUGGGAAACUGGGUCUAAUUCCCGAUAGGACUGCAGGGUGGUGCCUGUUGUGGAAAACGAUUUUCUGGUGGUUGGGGAUGAGCUCGCGGCCUAUCAGCUUGUUGGUGGGGUAAUGGCCUACCAAGGCGGCGACGGGUAGCCGGCCUGAGAGGGUGGACGGCCAAAUUGGGACUGAGAUACGGCCCAGACUGCUACGGGAGGCAGCAGUGGGGAAUAUUGCACAAUGGGCGGAAGCCUGAGGCAGCGACGCCGCGUGGGGGAUGACGGCCUUCGGGUGGUAAACUCCUUUCGACCGAGAGGAAGCCACCUGGUUGGAAGGGUGGUGACGGUAGUGGUAGAAGAAGCACCGGCUAACUACGUG